GCGCAAUUCAAGAUACUCCAGUCUUCCUUUGGAGUUAAUUUUUCAUCCUCAUACUCAUUGUCUGAUCCACCAUAAUAACUGUAAUAGUCGCCAUUGUGCAAUAGAAACAGAAAAUCAUGUUUAUUAAUCAUGUAGCAAAUUCGAACAAAAUCACUAAACAAAUCUUACUUCUUCAUAACCAUGCAUCUUUGGUAGAAGAUCUGCUCCUAAUUAAUUAGCACAAUCCUGCAAACCAAAAAUUAUGUUUGAAACAUGAUCUUGAUACAAAACAUAUAACACAUACCAAUGAAUACAAUAUUAAAAA
Molecule: long non-coding RNA, 304 nt
Filed under: Brassica napus (rape)
Lineage: Eukaryota; Viridiplantae; Streptophyta; Magnoliopsida; Brassicales; Brassicaceae
Description: long non-coding RNA (BNAP_LNC017314)
Source: RNAcentral